This 589-nucleotide ribosomal RNA is filed under the name uncultured bacterium. RNAcentral describes it as "bacterial SSU rRNA". It matches the Rfam family "Bacterial small subunit ribosomal RNA", at positions 338 to 916 of the family's 1533-position model. The record is from RNAcentral.
CCUACGGGAGGCAGCAGUCUAGAAAUUUGCACAAUCGCCGAAAGGCGGAUGCAGCGACACCACGUGGAGGAUGACACCCCUCGGGGUGUAAACUCCUGUCAGAAGGGAAGAAGGCGCGGGCGUUAAUACCGCUCAUUGCUUGACGGUACCUUCAGAGGAAGCUCCGGCUAACUACGUGCCAGCAGCCGCGGUAAUACGUAGGGAGCGAGCGUUGUUCGGAUUUACUGGGCGUAAAGGGCACGUAGGCGGGUAUGCAAGUCGAUUGUGAAAUCCUCUGGCUCAACCAGAGAACUGCAGCCGAAACUGCACACCUUGAGUCCAGCAGAGGGAAUCGGAAUCCCAGGUGUAGCGGUGAAAUGCGUAGAUAUCUGGGAGAACAUCAGUGGCGAAGGCGGAUUCCUGGGCUGGUACUGACGCUGAGGUGCGAAAGCUAAGGGAGCGAACAGGAUUAGAUACCCUGGUAGUCUUAGCCGUAAACGAUGGGUACUAGGUGUUGGGGGACAUUGACCCCCUCAGUGCCGUAGCUAACGCAUUAAGUACCCCGCCUGGGGAGUACGGCCGCAAGGCUGAAACUCAAAGGAAUUGACGG